AUCAUUGGUUUGUAGGGGGAAAGAGUGGGUGAAUAUAAUUAUCUCGGUCUAACUUAUACUGUUUAUUAUACCGCUAUUCGCAGCAAUAUCUUUCUCUGCUCCGAUUGCAACGCUGCCUCGUUCAAAUAUCAUAACACCGCCGCGGUCGCCACGUUUACCAGCAAAGAGUCUCCUUGUCUACCAGCCGGAGCCUCAAAUCAUGUCCCUUUGUGGUGAUAAAGAGGACACAGCCUGGUGUGAAGCUACAUUUAUUGCGGAAGGAUGCCAGCCGGGAUCCGAACACGUCCGAUAUCAUCCAAGAGAAUGUGGCAGCUGAAGGGGAGAGUCCAAGAAAGAGGCCAAGGGUGAAGACAUUUAGCCACUCCCUGAACUACGUGGCAGCAUCCAACCCUCACCUGAGCUGCAGGGAUGUGCUUCCCAUUGCAGUGCACCAGCUCCAUGUACUGAUUUUGGGUGUGAACUUGAUGGGGUUGGAGGAAACUCGACUCGACCAUCAAGCUCACCACAAUAUAACAUGAAAAGUGAAAAUUGCUGCACACAACAGUCUGCCGUCUGCACCGGGAGGCAAGGCAGCUCAAAGCCCAGGCUGUUACAACUCCUGGGCAGUUUUUGCCCAGAUGCCAAGAUCUAAGCCUAGUAGAAGAUAUGGGUUACAAGAGAGGAGGUUUGCUCUGGCCUUAUACUAUCAAAGUCCAAAUGCUAAUAGAUUUCUAAGCACAGUAUUUCACUUGCCUUCAGUUUCAACACUUCACUCAUGACUUUGGGGUAUUUCAGUACAUGUUGGCUGGAGCAAACAGACUCUGACAGCCCUGCAGCAAAGAGCACAGGCUUUGUCAAAAGAAGAGAUACUUCGUGGGAUUUGCCAUUAUUUAGUAUUACUCUUGUUACGCCAAGAAUUUUUUUCCAUAUACUUUGCCAAAUAUUGCAAGUAAUGUACCAUUGUUGGGCUUGCCUGUUAUAAAUCAGAUCUUGUUCAAUUAACAAGCUUUGGGUGUCUGCCACUUUCCAGUUGUAAUGCAAGGAAUCAUUUACCUCCCUUGCUAGAUAUCACAUGUAAUGCACCAUUGUUGGUUUUGCCUGUUAUAAAUCAGAUCUUGUUCAGUUAACAAGCUUUAGGUGUCUGCCACUUUCCAGUUGUAAUGCAAGGAAUCCCCUGCCAGGUAUCGCAUGUAAUGCACCAUUGUUGGUUUUGCCUGUUAUAAAUCAGACCUUGUUCAGCUCACAAGCUUUGAAUAUUUGCCAUUGUUUAUUUCAGGUGUAAUGCUUGGAAGCAUUUGUUCUCUCCCCUACCCAACAGUAUGCAAUGCUUUAUUGUGGAUUUUGCCUGUUAUAUUUAAUCUUGUUCAGGUAACAAGCUUUUGGUGUCUGCCUUACCGAAUAAUAUGCUGCAGUGACACUUGGCUUGAUUUCAUAAUGUGAAAUACAGCAUGUAAUUUCAUCACACUAAGUGUCUAUCAUCACAUGUCUGGCAUCAUUAAUGUGGCUUCGAGGAGUAAUCUUGUUUGUAUUACAGCAUGCAUUGUUUUUUUCUGCUUUAUAUGAUACGCAUAAUCACAUAGGUAUGAUUUUUUUUUUUUUUUUUUUUUUUUUUUUUUUUGUGGACAAAAUGUAAUGGCAGUUGAUAUUCUUGACUAAUGCCUCAUAAACCUUAUUUUGUCUCAUUUGCUUUUAUCAUAUCUACCUCUGCUACUUAGUUGUGCCUACUGAGCUUAAUAUCUUCAUGACCCUGACACCAGGGUCAGAGCUUGUGAGAUCAUACCGUGUCCUACAUCCCAUUUUCACCUCCAGGCUCGGCUGUCUCCCAGGACCACCAAGUUAUUGCAUUCCAUUUAAGACAACUCAUGUGUUACCUUCUUGAUGUUCUCCAUCAUGUAUUUCAGCAUGUUUUAUGAUGCUUUGCUCUUAUAUAUUGAUGUGCCUUGCAACAUUUUUAUACAGUUUUCAUUGUAUAUAACGCACCAUUGUUGGUUUUGCCUGUUAUAAAUCGGGUCAUGUUCAGUUAACAAGCUUUGAGUGUCUCCCAUUGUUUAUUUCAGUUGUAAUGCUUAGAAGCUUUUGUUCUCUGCCCUGUCAAGCAGUAUGCAAUGCUUGCUAUUAUCUGGCACUGGUACAGUUAGUAUGAUAUUUUUACUCAGCUAAGAGCAUUUUGCAAAAGGUAAAGGUACGGUUGGGGGCAUACGCUGUAGCAGCGCGUGGCCUCGGUGCUCAUCUCUGUAACAUUUGCCCUUGAGCCUGUGGUGUUAGGGAACCCAUUACCCUGGGACACAGGACCAGUGUGACACCCGGGUUACCACUGUUGCAAAGGCAUUAUAGUAAUUAGCAUGCAUAGAAUGUUGUAUGCUUUGCUUGUAUUUAAAGCACUGGAUAUGUUUGCUACACAC
Molecule: long non-coding RNA, 2381 nt
Organism: Eriocheir sinensis (Chinese mitten crab)
Lineage: Eukaryota; Metazoa; Arthropoda; Malacostraca; Decapoda; Varunidae
Exons: 4
Source: RefSeq, a predicted model, not a curated record